UUAAAUGGAAUGGGCUAAAACAUGAAGCCCACUCGGAUCAAAACAAAAUCCAAAAAAUCCCUUAAAAAAAUUGAAACCGCCCCCUUCCAAAAACUCUUUCACGGUCUCUUCUUAUCCCUCUCACAUCUCACGAUAAACUCUGCUUCUGAUUUUUUUUAGGUUUUCAACAACCAUAACUAAAACUCUCCUUCUCUCGGAUUCUCUUUUUAACGAAACAACAACAAUUUCUCUUCAUCUCUUAGCACUAAAAGAAAAACCUCAAUCAAACCACAUAUUUACAACAAACAACGGAGGAUCAAACAAGCCAACAACAAUCAUGAACAAAUCAUACACCAACAACAAUCAAACAAGCCAACAACAAUCAUGGACAAAAAGAUGCAAAAUCAAACUAUGAUUGAAGCGAAAUUACCGAUCCGGACAUUCCUAGAGUGACGAAAUUCCAAGUGCGUGUUAAUUGAAGGUUGUGCGUUAGGCUCGAAAAAAUUAUUGCUGAGUGAUGCUGAUGCGGAACUGAAGCGUGCGAUAUUGUUGUAGCUGAGAUGAAUGGCUUUGUGCUUUGCGUUCAGAGUCGUGUCUAUAUUGAUGCGGAAGGUGAGUUGAUGAUGAAUGACGCGAUGUUAUUGUUGUGAGUCAAGCUUGCUGCUGCGUGAAAUUUGUUACGAAUCAGAGUCGAAUGUCUUAGUUGAGUCUUGUUGUUGGUGCGAGUCAAAUCAGAGGCAGAGUUCAGCCUUGUAUGAUGUGUUGAGUUGAUGAUGUUGAUCCGUGAAGCGGAGUUACCGAGUGCAGGUAAAAAUUAUUGUGUGUAGUUACAACUUGCAGAGGGAGUUAUGUAAGGUAUAUGAAGGUUGUUAAAGGAUUUGGAACUUGCAGGUUAUACAUGUUGAAUUUUUAUUAAAUCUGUUGCAUAUUUUGCCGUUUUGCAGAUGUUGAUUUAUGGAGAGAUUGUGAAGUUGUGUGAAAUGGCUCUGAAAGUUCCAGCCAUAAGGGGGUGUAUGGUCUAGCAAUUCGCUGGGCUUGCAUUACCAGACAAGGCCUAAGAAAUCAAACUAAAUCUACCUUAUUGGGGGAGGUGUAGCAUUAAGGCAAGGUGUUAAACGGGAAUAAAAUGGAAUGGGCCAAAACAUGAAGCCCACUCUGAUCAAGACAAAAUCCAAUAAAACUAAAAAAAAUUGACAAUUUCUUUGUAGACGCCCCUAUAGGGAGAACCCCUACCAAAAACCCCAAAAUACACCUGCUUCGGAGAUGCAUCUCCGAAGUUUUUUUUUCCAAAUUUUCCUAGAAUUUGGAGAUGCAUUUCCGAAAACAUCAAAUGGGGGUAUUUUCAGAGAUGCAUCUCCGAAAAUACCAUUUUCACAUUUUAGGGUGUUUUCGGAUAUGCAUCUCCGAAAUAUGCAAAAAUUGUCUUUUUUUUGUUUUGUUUUCUAAACAAUGUUUAGUCCUGUAUUUUAAAUUAAACGAUAACGCUUGUAGUAAAUUGUGCUUGAUAUAAAAAAAAUAUAACACGCAUAUUGGAAUAAAA
Long non-coding RNA from Vicia villosa (hairy vetch), 1519 nucleotides. RefSeq lists it as uncharacterized. Lineage: Eukaryota; Viridiplantae; Streptophyta; Magnoliopsida; Fabales; Fabaceae. The transcript is spliced from 2 exons. The record is from RefSeq and is a predicted model, not a curated record.